AAGCAGGGGCGUGAGAGGACUGCUGGUGACAAGUUUUCACUUGAUCAGCUGCUCAUCCCACACGGUUGCGCCGCGCUCUAGAGGUCAGGCUCGGUGUUUGGCGGCAACUUUUGGCUGCAAUUUCAAACCGAUACGACGGGGAAAGCUUUGAAUUCACAUAUCCUCGGAUGGUUAGAGAAAAUAAGCGUUUUUUGUUGGUUUGUUUGUUGUUGGUUUUUUUAGCUAAAUGAUUUUUAUUUGUCGAGCCGGGUUGUGUGCUCCUAAGCGGUAGGAACCUCACACACAAAGCCCAGCGCGUUUUCAGUCUGCAGAUGCAGCCGAGGGUCUGCUGAGCUGGAGGAGGGAUCUGACUGGUGCACAUUUUUUUUUUUUGGACGCAUGUGAAACGGCGCAGUCCAUGAUGAUGAAGAUGAUGAUGCUGGCUGCAGCUCUGCAGACAAUCGCGGCAGCUGAGUGAGCCGUGAGGUGCUGUCCAGGGUGCUGAAGAGUCGCCGUGUUUUCCCCUCCUCCUCCUUCUUCCCGCCGCACCCCCCACCCGUCCAGACUGCACGCGUGAACAGACGUGGAUGCCGAACAGCGCAACACGGCCCGAGUAAAUAAAUGGGACCGCACGUCGUCCGAGCGUUUGAGAGAUCAUGGAGAGAUUUUUCCUGCUCGUCCUCAGCGGCUGCCUCGGAGUCUCUCGAGUCACGGCGGAUAGCCUGUCGCCUCCCGUCAAUGUGACCAUCAAAGAGGUGAAAGCAAACUCUGCUGUGGUGUCAUGGGACAUCCCCGAGGGAGACCCCGUCAUUGGCUUUGCCAUCACACAGCAGAAGAAAGAUGUGCGCAUGCUGCGGUUGAUCCAGGAAGUCAACACCACCACGCGCUCCUGUGCAUUAUGGGACUUGGAGGAGGAGACAGACUACAUAGUGCACGUCCAGUCCGUCAGCAUGUCCGGGACGAGCCCGCUGAGCGAACCGCUGCGCUUCCGAACCCCAAAGGAGGCCGAGACGCAGGCCUCUAAGAACGAAGUGACCAUGGAGGAGGUGGGUCAGGCGACCCAGCUGAGGGCUGGAGAGCUCAUCAUCAUUGUGGUCGUACUCAUCAUGUGGGCAGGUGUGAUUGCCCUCUUCUGUCGUCAAUAUGACAUAAUCAAAGACAACGAGCCCAACAACAACAAGGACAAAGCCAAAAACUCCUCGGAGUGCAGCACUCCUGAACACCCGAGGGGGGGCCUGCUGCGCAGUAAGGUAUAACCCACCCCUCUGCUCCUCCUCCUCCCCCCUGGGCGCCUCCCCCUCUCAGCGACGCUGGCCAGUUCCCCAAGAACAACAACAACAACAACAGGUUGCCAUCUGUCAACAUCAUUGAGGUGUGACUGCCGUUAAGUCUUUUCUUUACUCAGAAGACUUCAUGCAAACAACGAGCCCCUUCUAGGUCCGUCAGCUGUCAGGAUGACGCUGGGACAGAGGGACUCUAGGCGUGCAGGCGCCGCUUUCUCUUCUUCAACACCGGUUCUGGUGUGGAGCUGGGACUCCAGGGGACGUGGCGGAAUGAGGCCGAGCUCGGCCUCGUUUUCCAGGAGAGCAGAAAGACUGCAGGAAGAGUUCAGCAGCGGGUCUGUGCUCGGUGACAGUACAUUGGGGUCACGGUUUUUAGUGCUGUGGAGAGACUGCAGACGAACCGACCCCAGGGACCAAGGCUGAUCAAACAGAGCCAGAAACCGUUACCGGAAGAAUUUGUACUUAACUUUUUCUGGGUGGUACUUUAAGCUUCUUUUAACGCUUAUUUCCUCAUGGGCUUACCCCUGCGUUUGAUGUUUUGGUAUCUGUUUGGGCUUUAUUUUUCAGUAAAUCUCCAAGUGCAGAGACUCUUUGCUGUUCUGGUACAUUUGUAUUCCCCCCCUCAGGGAAUCCAGACUCCACCCGGGUAACAAAAAGAGCCAUUUCCACUACAGGCUGCAAUGUCACCAGAGCAGCUUUAGAGGGAUCAGUCGGCUAAAAUCACUCACAGUCAUUAACUCGUAUAUAUGACAUAGUUCUUCAAGUCUGGCCUGUAAUUUCUCUCGUCUUUUUUUAUUAUAGACUUCUAAAAUGUAACAUUCCUCUCCCUGAACGAGCCCUUUAGUACCUCCUGGUGUCUUUCUUUUUGAGCGUGAUGGAUUUCACGUCAUUUUUGUGAGCAGCAGAACUCCCCUAAUGGAGUUCAUUCAUCUAAUUAACUAUGAACGGGGCUGGACUCUGCGGACGUCUGAGGAGAAGAGAUCCCUUCAAUCAGCAAUAACAGCCCCUCAGAGGAAACGAAGGAAGUCCGGACUUGAACUCUGGAUCCUCUGGAAAAAGGAAAACUGUCAGCAUGUCACGGAUGAACAAACUGGACGUUCAAGUAUGCUGGAAUAAACCUUGGGUAUCAUUUUUAAGUGAUCCUCAAAAAAGCCUUUUCAGCUGUGUUGAAAAAAAAAUAAAAAUAUUUCUCUUGGCAAGCAUGGAAAAAAAUAUUUUUUAAAUCGGGCCCAACUGGGGAACCCUGAGACUUCUUUACGGCAUCCUGAACAGAUGUUGAGACAGAAGGGCUUCUUUCAAGACUUUUUGAAUUAUUAUUACGAACAUGUGUUUAAAGUCCAUGGUAAUGAAAAUAGCUAUUGUGGUAAGCGCAUACAUGAUGUAUUUGAGGGCUGAUUUACACUCAGUAGUACUGCCUUAACAAUUGUAUCCCAUUACUUACAAGAUGUUGUAUCUCACUUUUGUGACAUUACAUUUACCUUUCACCCAGUAUUUAAAUGUUUGUGCAAAGUGAAGGGAAAACAUAACAUGCAGGUUGGAGGAAUUGGCAAGUAUCUGAUUUGUAAAUACAUUUUAAAUGUCUUAUUUAGUACAGUCGGUCUAUAGAGGCUUUGUGGAAUAAGGUUGAUGUAGAAAAUGUCUCGAUUUGUAGGGAAGCUAGGAGAUCACAUUUUGUCAAAAUUGUUCAGUUUUAUGAAAAGGAUUUUUCAAAAAAGAAAAAAAAAACA
RNA transcript from Poecilia latipinna (sailfin molly), 2989 nucleotides. It is a transcript of the gene named fibronectin type III domain containing 5a, with no coding region annotated. The record is from RefSeq and is a predicted model, not a curated record. NCBI's taxonomy places the organism in Eukaryota, Metazoa, Chordata, Actinopteri, Cyprinodontiformes, Poeciliidae. The transcript has 6 exons.